UCUACGGGCGGCAGCAGUGGGGAAUAUUGGGCAAUGGGCGAAAGCCUGACCCAGCAAUGCCGCGUGAAUGAAGAAGGUCUUAGGAUUGUAAAAUUCUGUCCUCUGGGAAGAAAAAAUGAUGGUAUCCUAGGCGGAAGCUCCGGCUAACUACGUGCCAGCAGCCGAGGUAAUACGGAGGGGGCGAGCGGUGUCCGGAAUUAGUGGGGGGAAAGAGGGCGUAGGCGGCACUACAAGUCUCAUGUGAAAUACCCGGGCUUAACUUGGGGGUUGCAUGGGAAACUGUAGAGCUUGAGUACAGGAGAGGCGAGCGGAAUUCCUAGUGUAGCGGUGAAAUGCAUAGAUAUUAGGAGGAACACCAGUGGCGAAGGCGGCUUGCUGGACUGAAACUGACGCUGAGGCUCGAAAGCGUGGGGAGCAAACAGGAUUAGAUACCCCAGUAGUC
Molecule: ribosomal RNA, 442 nt
Filed under: uncultured bacterium
Lineage: Bacteria
Description: partial 16S ribosomal RNA
Rfam family: Bacterial small subunit ribosomal RNA
Source: RNAcentral